Molecule: ribosomal RNA, 444 nt
Filed under: uncultured bacterium
Lineage: Bacteria
Description: partial 16S ribosomal RNA
Rfam family: Bacterial small subunit ribosomal RNA
Source: RNAcentral
CCUACGGGGGGCUGCAGUGAGGAAUAUUGGUCAAUGGGCGUAAGCCUGAACCAGCCAAGUCGCGUGAGGGAUGAAGGUUCUAUGGAUCGUAAACCUCUAUCAACAGGGACGAAAGAAAUGACGGUACCUGAAUAAGAAGCCCCGGCUAACUACGUGCCAGCAGCCGCGGUAAUACGUAGGGGGCAAGCGUUAUCCGGAAUUACUGGGUGUAAAGGGUGAGUAGGCGGCAUGGUAAGCCAGAUGUGAAAGCCUUGGGCUUAACCCGAGGAUUGCAUUUGGAACUAUCAAGCUAGAGUACAGGAGAGGAAAGCGGAAUUCCUAGUGUAGCGGUGAAAUGCGUAGAUAUUAGGAAGAACACCAGUGGCGAAGGCGGCUUUCUGGACUGAAACUGACGCUGAGGCACGAAAGCGUGGGGAGCGAACAGGAUUAGAUACCCCUGUAGUC